Molecule: ribosomal RNA, 2199 nt
Filed under: Listeria monocytogenes
Lineage: Bacteria; Bacillati; Bacillota; Bacilli; Caryophanales; Listeriaceae
Description: partial 23S ribosomal RNA
Rfam family: Bacterial large subunit ribosomal RNA
Source: RNAcentral
AAAGCGAGUCUGAAUAGGGCGCAUAAGUAACAGGUCGUAGACCCGAAACCAGGUGAUCUACCCAUGUCCAGGAUGAAGGUAAGGUAAUACUUACUGGAGGUCCGAACCCACGCACGUUGAAAAGUGCGGGGAUGAGGUGUGGGUAGCGGAGAAAUUCCAAUCGAACUUGGAGAUAGCUGGUUCUCUCCGAAAUAGCUUUAGGGCUAGCCUCGAGGUAAAGAGUCAUGGAGGUAGAGCACUGUUUGGACUAGGGGCCCUUCUCGGGUUACCGAAUUCAGAUAAACUCCGAAUGCCAUGUACUUAUACUCGGGAGUCAGACUGCGAGUGAUAAGAUCCGUAGUCGAAAGGGAAACAGCCCAGACCACCAGUUAAGGUCCCCAAAUAUAUGUUAAGUGGAAAAGGAUGUGGGGUUGCUUAGACAACCAGGAUGUUGGCUUAGAAGCAGCCACCAUUGAAAGAGUGCGUAAUAGCUCACUGGUCGAGUGACCCCGCGCCGAAAAUGUACCGGGGCUAAACAUAUUACCGAAACUGUGGAUGAACCUCAUUAGAGGUUCGUGGUAGGAGAGCGUUCUAAGGGCGGUGAAGUCAGACCGGAAGGACUGGUGGAGCGCUUAGAAGUGAGAAUGCCGGUAUGAGUAGCGAAAGAAGGGUGAGAAUCCCUUCCACCGAAUAUCUAAGGUUUCCUGAGGAAGGCUCGUCCGCUCAGGGUUAGUCGGGACCUAAGCCGAGGCCGAUAGGCGUAGGCGAUGGACAACAGGUAGAGAUUCCUGUACCAGUGCUAAUUGUUUAACCGAUGGGGUGACACAGAAGGAUAGGGAAUCGCACGAAUGGAAAUGUGCGUCCAAGCAGUGAGUGUGAGAAGUAGGCAAAUCCGCUUCUCGCGAAGCAUGAGCUGUGAUGGGGAAGGAAAUUAAGUACGGAAGUUCCUGAUUUCACGCUGUCAAGAAAAGCCUCUAGGAAGAGUAGUACUGCCCGUACCGCAAACCGACACAGGUAGAUGAGGAGAGAAUCCUAAGGUGAGCGAGAGAACUCUCGUUAAGGAACUCGGCAAAAUGACCCCGUAACUUCGGGAGAAGGGGUGCUCUAUUAGGGUGCAAGCCCGAGAGAGCCGCAGUGAAUAGGCCCAGGCGACUGUUUAGCAAAAACACAGGUCUCUGCAAAACCGUAAGGUGACGUAUAGGGGCUGACGCCUGCCCGGUGCUGGAAGGUUAAGAGGAGUGCUUAGCUUCGGCGAAGGUACGAAUUGAAGCCCCAGUAAACGGCGGCCGUAACUAUAACGGUCCUAAGGUAGCGAAAUUCCUUGUCGGGUAAGUUCCGACCCGCACGAAAGGCGCAACGAUCUGGGCACUGUCUCAACGAGAGACUCGGUGAAAUUAUAGUACCUGUGAAGAUGCAGGUUACCCGCGACAGGACGGAAAGACCCCGUGGAGCUUUACUGCAACCUGAUAUGGAAUGUUUGUACCGCUUGUACAGGAUAGGUAGGAGCCGAAGAGACGUGUGCGCUAGCAUACGAGGAGGCAAUGGUGGGAUACUACCCUGGCUGUAUGACCAUUCUAACCCGCCACGCUUAGCGCGUGGGGAGACAGUGUCAGGUGGGCAGUUUGACUGGGGCGGUCGCCUCCUAAAGAGUAACGGAGGCGCCCAAAGGUUCCCUCAGAAUGGAUGGAAAUCAUUCGCAGAGUGUAAAGGCACAAGGGAGCUUGACUGCGAGACUGACAAGUCGAGCAGGGACGAAAGUCGGGCUUAGUGAUCCGGUGGUUCCGCAUGGAAGGGCCAUCGCUCAACGGAUAAAAGCUACCCCGGGGAUAACAGGCUUAUCUCCCCCAAGAGUCCACAUCGACGGGGAGGUUUGGCACCUCGAUGUCGGCUCGUCGCAUCCUGGGGCUGUAGUCGGUCCCAAGGGUUGGGCUGUUCGCCCAUUAAAGCGGCACGCGAGCUGGGUUCAGAACGUCGUGAGACAGUUCGGUCCCUAUCCGUCGCGGGCGCAGGAAAUUUGAGAGGAGCUGUCCUUAGUACGAGAGGACCGGGAUGGACACACCGCUGGUGUACCAGUUGUUCCGCCAGGAGCAUCGCUGGGUAGCUAUGUGUGGCAGGGAUAAACGCUGAAAGCAUCUAAGCGUGAAGCCCCCCUCAAGAUGAGAUUUCCCAUUUCUUCGGAAAGUAAGAUCCCUGAAAGAUGAUCAGGUAGAUAGGUUUGGA